This 272-nucleotide ribosomal RNA is filed under the name uncultured Lactobacillus sp. RNAcentral describes it as "partial 16S ribosomal RNA". It matches the Rfam family "Bacterial small subunit ribosomal RNA", at positions 75 to 339 of the family's 1533-position model. Lineage: Bacteria; Bacillati; Bacillota; Bacilli; Lactobacillales; Lactobacillaceae. The record is from RNAcentral.
AUGAUUUACAUUUGAGUGAGUGGCGAACUGGUGAGUAACACGUGGGAAACCUGCCCAGAAGCGGGGGAUAACACCUGGAAACAGAUGCUAAGUACCGUAUAACAACAAAAUCCGCAUGGAUUUUGUUUGAAAGGUGGCUUCGGCUAUCACUUCUGGAUGAUCCCGCGGCGUAUUAGCUAGAUGGUGGGGUAACGGCUCACCAUGGCAAUGAUACGUAGCCGACCCUGAGAGGGUAAUCGGCCACAUUGGGACUGAGACACGGCCCAAACUCC